Molecule: ribosomal RNA, 770 nt
Filed under: Cichlidogyrus tiberianus
Lineage: Eukaryota; Metazoa; Platyhelminthes; Monogenea; Dactylogyridea; Ancyrocephalidae
Description: partial 28S ribosomal RNA
Rfam family: Eukaryotic large subunit ribosomal RNA
Source: RNAcentral
CCAGGAUUCUCCUAGUAACGGCGAGUGAACGGAGAUUAGCCCAUCACCGAAGCCUGCGUGUGUUUGCAUGCUAGGCAAUGUGGUGUUAAAGCUUGUACCUGGGACCGUGUACCUACCCGAAGUCUAAAUCCGAUUGUGGCUUUGGAUUCAUUCCAUAGCGGGUGAAAGUCCCGUGCGGGUAGGACUCAUUCGAAUCACACGGUCCUCAGAUGUGCAUGCUUUCGAGUCGGAUUGCUUGAGAAUGCAGUCCAAAGUGGGUGGUAAACUCCAUCCAAGGCUAAAUACUGGCACGAGUCCGAUAGUAGACAAGUACCGUGAGGGAAAGUUGAAAAGUACUCUGAAGAGAGAGUAAAUAGUACGUGAAGCCGAUUGCAGGGAAGCUGGUGGAGUCAAGCUUCGUGCUUGAGGGAUUGAUGCUGGGAGCAGGUGUGUGAUUUGGAUGUGAGGUUGGACGACUUGGAAUAAGUUGGGCGUGUUCUGAAUGCGCUUCAAGUCAUUCUGGGUAGAGUGUUAUGAGCCAUCCUCGCUUUCCUACUCUCAGUGUUGUAUUCUUCGCUGCACAGGCCACAGUCAAUAGGUGUAUGCGGUAUGAAGGCCUAACUGUGCUUCGGCGGGUGCAAGCUCUCCGGGUGCAGGAUGGCAGGUGCUGUCUUCGGGCCUUGUGUUCGAUGAUAGUUGUUGUGGUUUCGACCGGCUGGUCUUCAUACUGUGUUCUACUUAUUGCCUAUCAAUGGCGUAGCUUCCACGGAAGUGCGUUGUGAAGAACUGUG